UGUCUUAAUGAGGACUAGUAUGAACGGCAUCACGAGGGUUAUACUGUCUCCCACCUCCAAUCAGUGAAACUGAUCCCCCCGUGAAGAAGCGGGGAUAAAAUUAUAAGACGAGAAGACCCCAUGGAGCUUUAAACUCAGCACCAACCACCUACAACCACAUCAUCUUAAACAAGUGGCCCUGACUGCUAGUUUUAGGUUGGGGUGACCGCGGAGCAAAACAAAACCUCCACGAUGAACGACCUCCUCUCUAAUCCGAGAGCCACCACUCAAAGAAUCAAAAAAUUGACACACAUUGACCCAAAUUAUUUUGAUCAACGAACCAAGUUACCCUGGGGAUAACAGCGCAAUCCAUUUCAAGAGCUCCUAUCGACAAAUGGGUUUACGACCUCGAUGUUGGAUCAGGGUAUCCCAGUGGUGCAGCCGCUACUAAAGGUUCGUUUGUU
This 443-nucleotide ribosomal RNA is filed under the name Gastrophryne carolinensis (eastern narrow-mouthed toad). Its description in RNAcentral is "partial 16S ribosomal RNA". It matches the Rfam family "Bacterial large subunit ribosomal RNA", at positions 1970 to 2581 of the family's 2925-position model. The record is from RNAcentral. Lineage: Eukaryota; Metazoa; Chordata; Amphibia; Anura; Microhylidae.